AAAUGAUUCUGGGUUUUAGUCAAGUGGACAAAUAAAAUCAUGUCCUGUCAACUUGCAGUGUCUCACAACACAAUAGGAUGAGUUAUAUCAACCUCAACUUGAAGGGAAAUUGAAAACUUUAAAUAACGUGUUCAUAUAACAACAAAACAUAAGUUCUGUCAAGUUUCUUUCAAAUGCGCAUGUGCCAGAAACUCUACGUCAUGAUGACGUACUAUUUUACCGAAUUUGAGACAGACGCGCCAUCCGCCAUUUUCUGCACGAGAAGCUGCUGCUGAUCACGCAAGAAAAGAUGAUGAUGGAGCCCGCGUUUGAACGACUACAGAUGGGCUGAUGGGCUUUAUGGACCGCAAAUAAUGAAAUUAGCAUUCAUAUUUUGCGAACUAAGACAGCUUGAUCAAUAGUCACACGCACUGCCAGACAAAAUUAUGCUCGCUGGACAUCGAGCUGCUGUCGAUACGUGAGCAGAAAGAGAAGUCGUCUUUAACUAUUGUAAGGAUCAGUACAGUGGAAGCACAACUCCAUAUCGAUGAGGUGGUAUUGCAAGAUUUGUAGACACCAAAAACCUUCUUGCUUUACUAAGAGAACAUUCAAAAAGUCUGAGUUGAUCCUGUUCCAGAUUCUGUUGACGGCCUCAAGCUUGAACCUAAAAGCAGGCUCCAGCUGAAAGACACUUUUGACCUUCAAUAAGAAGAUGAAGACUUCCAUGAUUUCUGUAACCUUACAUGUGUAGCUGAUCUGUCCAAAAACAAGAUCAGCAAAGAAUUCACCUGUGUUAAAGGACUAGAGAAAGUCCUUUUUUGAAGGCCUAGAUGGUCAUCUCUCGAAGCUGAUGCAGUUAUUCAGGUCAAAGCAUUCCAGAAAUGACUUCAAUACUGGAGAGCCUUAAUAAGGAUACAACAAAGGAUGAGGACAGCAGCAUUGCUGGGCCUGCCAUGGUACAUGCGAGAGACUCAAAAUUCAUGAAGAUAUGCAAGCCCAGUGAGCGUGAAGAGGAUUUGAUCAAGGGUGUGGUGAUUGGAAUCCUAAUGGUUGUGGGAAAUGUGAUGGAACCUCUCCCAGCGAUCUACAAUGACGUUGCCCUGGUGAUUGAGGAAGAAGUGGUAAUGCAUCACCUUAGUGAUAUACCUAAUGCUUUUCUGAACCUGAUGGGCCUGGACUAUCCAAACCUUGACUACCCAAAGGAAUUAAAAUUCACUUUUUAAGUGAUACAGCACCCGUUUAUAGGAGUGGGAUCAGACUUUUGCACUGCAAGAGUUCACUCUUUGAAGAGGAGGUUGCUGCGAUAAGACAGAAAACGAACAAUCUUUUUUCCUUCUUGCUACUGUUUAAAGG
Long non-coding RNA from Megalobrama amblycephala (Wuchang bream), 1332 nucleotides. RefSeq lists it as uncharacterized. The transcript is spliced from 7 exons. NCBI's taxonomy places the organism in Eukaryota, Metazoa, Chordata, Actinopteri, Cypriniformes, Xenocyprididae. The record is from RefSeq and is a predicted model, not a curated record.